RNAcentral lists this unclassified non-coding RNA (227 nucleotides) under rhizosphere metagenome. Its description in RNAcentral is "partial ribosomal RNA internal transcribed spacer region". The record is from RNAcentral.
GUAGGUGAACCUGCGGAAGGAUCAUUACUGCUACCUCUGCCACCCCCCUAACCCGGGAUGCGUAGACACGCCACCCUUGUAUAAUAUAUAUUGUUGCUUUGGCGGGCCGCCUUCGGGCACCGGCUUCGGCUGGAUCGUGCCUGCCAGAGGACCACAACUCUUGUUUUUAGUGAUGUCUGAGUACUAUAUAAUAGUUAAAACUUUCAACAACGGAUCUCUUGGUUCUG